Molecule: non-coding RNA, 21 nt
Filed under: Caenorhabditis elegans
Lineage: Eukaryota; Metazoa; Nematoda; Chromadorea; Rhabditida; Rhabditidae
Source: RNAcentral
UCAACAUCAAGUAUUUUGAGA